Non-coding RNA from Acanthosepion pharaonis, 109 nucleotides. NCBI's taxonomy places the organism in Eukaryota, Metazoa, Mollusca, Cephalopoda, Sepiida, Sepiidae. The record is from the annotation of a GenBank genome assembly.
UUGCAGCCAUAUGAUGUUGAAACACUGGUUAUCAUACAAUCACCAAAGUUAAGCAACAUUGAGCCUGAUCAGUAGCUAGAUGGGUAACUACUUGGGAAUACCAAGUGCU